UACGGGAGGCAGCAGUGGGGAAUUUUGGACAAUGGGGGAAACUCCUGAUCCAGCCAUCCUGCGUGUGCGAUGAAGGCCUUCGGGUUGUAAAGCACUUUUGGCAGGGAAAGAAACGGCACGGGAGUGCUGGCACCUCGCGCAACUGACGGUACCUGCAGAAUAAGCACCGGCUAACUACGUGCCAGCAGCCGCGGUAAUACGUAGGGUGCAAGCGCGAAUCGGAAAUAUUACUGGGCGCAAGCGUGCGCGCAGGCGGUUCGGAAAGAAAGAUGUGAAAUCCUGCAGAGUUUAACUUUGGAACUGCAUUUUUAACUACCGAGCUAGAGUGUGUCAGAGGGAGGUGGAAUUCGCGUGUAGCAGUGAAAUGCGUAGAUAUGCGGAGGAACACCGAUGGCGAAGGCAGCCUCCCUGGGAUAACACUGACGCUCAGCGCGCGCACGAAAGCGUGGGGAGCAAACAGAUUAGAUACCCUGGUAGU
RNAcentral lists this unclassified non-coding RNA (478 nucleotides) under uncultured Bordetella sp. RNAcentral describes it as "partial 16S-23S ribosomal RNA intergenic spacer". It matches the Rfam family "Bacterial small subunit ribosomal RNA", at positions 340 to 794 of the family's 1533-position model. The record is from RNAcentral. Lineage: Bacteria; Pseudomonadati; Pseudomonadota; Betaproteobacteria; Burkholderiales; Alcaligenaceae.